Triticum aestivum (bread wheat) is the source of this 115-nucleotide non-coding RNA. The record is from Rfam. NCBI's taxonomy places the organism in Eukaryota, Viridiplantae, Streptophyta, Magnoliopsida, Poales, Poaceae.
GUAGUACUCCCUCCGUUCGGAAUUACUUGUCACAAAAAUGGAUGUAUCUACAACUAAAAUACAGGUAGAUACAUUCAUUUCUUGGACGAGUAAUUCCGAAAGGAGGGAGUAUGUA